This is a long non-coding RNA of Haliotis rufescens (red abalone), 3304 nucleotides long. RefSeq lists it as uncharacterized. The transcript has 8 exons. The record is from RefSeq and is a predicted model, not a curated record. NCBI's taxonomy places the organism in Eukaryota, Metazoa, Mollusca, Gastropoda, Lepetellida, Haliotidae.
GACGUAAGUAAACUGGUUCCCCGUAGUUGUUGCGCGAUCAGGGUGGCCUCAACAGGAAAAGGGGCGGUUUAACUACAGUCCGCCUUCGAGUCGUGCAUGUUAUUCCCAACAUGAGUGAUUCAGGACCUGACAGAGAUAUCAGCAGAAAUGACAGUGAAGUGAAAGAAGGCACAUUCUGGUUGGCAAGAAAUGUCCUUUUGAGAUAUCUUGGAUUUAUUUACUUUUGGGCAUUUCUCAUUUCCUUGCAUCAGAACAAACGGUUGUUUGGAAAAGAAGGCAUUCUCCCAAACGCAUCCAGUCCAUAUCUUGGAGACAUCAUUAACAGACUUGCUAACACAGAUCGAGAGGGUGUUAUUAACGUUCCAAAAAUCGCCUCCUGGUUUUUCAACGGCCUUCUCCCAUACACGUCCAAUACAGAUCUUAGAUACAUCAUCAAGAGUCUUGCUGACACAGAUCGAGAGAGUGUUAUCGACGUUCCAAAAAUCGUCUACUGGUUUUUCAAGGACAACAAGCCAGAUGAGAAUACUCUUGUUUUUAUCACGCAUGUCGGCUUGGCUCUGUCUCUGUCCCUCAUCAUUAGAGGAGCAGCAAAUUGGGUUUUGAUGUUGUGUCUGUGGACCAUAUACCAUUUACUUGUUGACGCCGGACGGCAGUGGCACAGCUUUGGUUGGGAGUUUCAGCUUCUAGAGACUGGAUUCCUGGCUACAUUCCUGUGCCCUGUGUGGAGCCUGAGACAACCACCGACAUCUCGCGCUGUCAUCCGGGGGUUUAAAUGGAUGUUUUUCCGCAUUAUGUGGGGAUGGACUUAGGACAAAUUCCGGAGAGAUCGUGUUAUUUGCUUCACAUAUUUCACUUGCAUGAAUUAUCAUUAUCAGACCACGCCAUUUAGCUUCAACAGUGACUGUCCAAAGACGAGGGAAGACCAGAUUAUAAGGUAUCAUGUCCUUGCUCCAUUUAUCCUGAUAUUUGGACGCAGAAUGGCCAUCAUUGCAGGAGCAAUAGGCAUAUAUUCUCAGGUUUCGUUAAUUUACAGUGGAGACCUGAGUCUGUUCAACUGGUUAAACAUUGUUCCCUGUCUGGCAUGUUUUGAUGAUCGGUGUAUAAGUUGGCUGCUGCCCGGGCGUUUGAGGAGGCAGAUAGCCUACAAGCAAGAGCUCACGCAGACAGAGGGUCUCAAAAUGUUCAACCUCGGUUUGGGAUUCUUCAUUAUCCUGCGGAGUAUUCAGGUUUUCAGCAGAACGUUUGACGAUAUGCUUUGGCUCGUAAAUACCAAUACCAAAGGGUAACUACUAACUCUGCAAUUGAAGCUUCAUUUCUUCAUCCAAAUGUAUUUGAUUAUGUUCGAACUGUACAGAGAAGCAGAUAGAAAGAAUCAAGUGUUUUGGCAAACGAAUAUCCAAAUGUGGCUCGUAAAUACCAAUACCAAAGGGUAACUACUAACUCUGCAAUUGAAUUUUAAUUUCUUCAUCCAAAUGUAUUUGGUUAUGUUCGAACUGUACAGAGAAGCAGAUAGAAAGAAUCAAGUGUUUUGGCAAACGAAUAUCCAAAUGUGACGCCCCAAGUACAGAUACAUUGCACGGAUCAACAUCGUUUCCGGAAACAAAUAUUUCAAUAAGGGCAUAUGAUCAAUUGAAAUUCCAUGUUGGAUGAUAAGGCAACGGUUAAUUAAGUGUGACUUCUCUGGAUUGUAUAUCAACAGAAUAGUUGUCGUUGUUCAUUAGUACUUCUUAUUUUGUUUGUUCCGUUACAUGAAAAAGACCAAAUACAUCCCUUUCGUUAUGAAGGGUGGCUGAAAUGUUCUGAGCCAAACAACAACGGAUGUAUAGUGCAUCCGUAACACUUUGCAUGUAUUAAGUACAGUGAAAUCUGUCGAAAUCGGACUCUCAAAUUCUGAGUUCAGUGAAAACCGGACCUUUUCUUAAGUCCCCUCAGUUCCUGAAUAAAUUAUAAUUACUCAAACUUACCUGCAACUCUCUAAUUUGGACCUUUUACACUUCGGGCUAAAAUGUCGGUCCAAACAACCAAUUUACUAUUGAAAAGAAGCUGUCUAAAUCGGACUGGACCAGACCGGACCGAACCGUAUGUUCUCUUACUUUGAAGUAACUCAGGCACUGCCAGCAUGAACUGGGCAUGACAAAGGUUUCACGCACUGGACUCCAAGACUCCUGAUCAGAAACGCUCCAGGUUCAUCAUAUGUAGUGAGAAUUUUCAAACAGACCGAAAUGAUUUGUAGAGUGAAAUUUGAGUUGACCCCUAUCAUCACGAGGCUACACAAGGGGCAAGGCAGCGGAAACGUAUAAGUAAACAUUCCAAAAGAAUCCUACUGGUGGACUACCUCCUGAGAUGCCAGACCAUUAAUGGCUAAUAUCUGCUUAUAGGGCUACCGCGUGAGACCAUCAAGGCUAUGCUUGGCCUGAAACUCUCUAUAAGUGUGCUGUUCCACUUUACACAAGUCUGUGGCUGCAAUGCAUAAAUGUGGCUUUCAACAUCCCCCGUUUUCAGCAGAUUUUCCACAGUAAUAUAUGAGUAAUCCACCUCCUCCACAAUUUGAAGAAACAUUUGUCAAACAUUAUGCGGCCGCCACAUAUCUCUUUGGACAAUUCCAUGGUCAUUUAUGCAUGUGCCCAUGUCUGCAUAUGGCCUGAGCAGCGAUCAGCGCAGUCGGGGUACGACGACACAUAAUGGACCGAAUUCAGCCUCAUAACCCGAUCCUUUUGAUCACCCCUUACAACCAGCAUAGGAGACCCACAAGAUGUAUGUAUACAGUGUCACAUACAGAAAUAUCGACCAAACAUAUCCUACGACCAUUGAUAUCACAUAUAGGGAUUAACGACCAAACAUAUAAAACGGCCAUUGAUAUCACAUACAGAGAUAAAGGUUAAAACAUCUCCAGCGACCAUUGAUAUCACAUAUAUACAGAGAUAACGACCAAACAUAUCCAACGACCAUUGCUAUCACAUACAGAGAUAACAACAAAGAUAUAGCCAACGACCAUUGCUAUCACAUUCAGAGAUAACGAUUAAAACAUCUCCUACGACCAUUGCUAUCACAUACAGAGAUAACAACAAAAAUAUAGCCAACGACCAUUGAUAUCACAUACAGAGAUAACGAUUAAACAUAUCCAACGACCACUGACAUCACAUACAGAGAUAACGAUUAAAACAUGCCCAGUGUCUCGUAUAUCACAUGGCAAAGAUAACGAAAAUGUUUAAAUAUAUAUAUAACUCAUAUACCAUUAUACAAGUUGGUUAAUAUAUGAAGAAUCACUCAUAUUCAAGAGAUAUUAGAUUGGUUCGACGCACAA